Molecule: ribosomal RNA, 257 nt
Filed under: uncultured prokaryote
Description: partial 16S ribosomal RNA
Rfam family: Bacterial small subunit ribosomal RNA
Source: RNAcentral
UACGGAGGAUCCGAGCGUUAUCCGGAUUUAUUGGGUUUAAAGGGUGCGUAGGCGGAAAUGUAAGUCAGUGGUGAAAUCCUGCAGCUUAACUGUAGAAUAGCCGUUGAAACUGUGUUUCUUGAGUACAUUUGAGGUAGGCGGAAUGUGUAGUGUAGCGGUGAAAUGCUUAGAGAUCACACAGAAUAUCGAUUGCGAAGGCAGCUCACAAAGCCAAGAUUGACGCUGAGGCACGAAAGUGUGGGGAGCAAACAGGAUUA